GAGAGCUUCUUAUUAAGAUAUCAGUAUAUGUUAAUUUAUAAUAUAGUGCCGCCUAGAGGUCAAAGGCUUUUCAGAUAUGAUAAAGAGAAAGGAAACAUUGUUUAACCUAUAAAAUAUUUAUUACAUUAUGGCACCUCCCUUGGUAGGCUAGGUUAAGCAAACAAAAGAGAAAAAAAACAACCCCCAACCAGUAGGCUCAGUACAACUUUGCAUUUCACUUUAGAGAUAGUGAUGUGACUUUUAACUGGAACUUUCUACUGAAGUUGAGACUACACCUCAGCUAUUUUUAAAAAACCUGAAGGACACUUUUGUAACCACCAAGAUUUGUGGUUAUAUACAAAUUGUUUUUGUAUUCAGCAUGAUGAUUUUUCUCAGUAUCCAGUAUUUCAGGAACUUGUAUUUUCACUUCCAGAUUGAAGGGAUGACCUACAUAAUCUUGAAACCCUGACUUUCAGAAGCAGCCGAACAGAAUCCAAGGACUAGAACUUAAGAAUACGCAUAAGUAAGGAUUCCAAGGUCAGCUUUCAGAAAGGUCAGAAAAAGAGGGCCAUGGACUCAAGAAGGUUUUGGUGAAGAACUGGGACAGACAUAGAGCUAAUGGAAUUCAGUAUUCUUCAUGUUUACAACAAAUAGUUUAAACUUACUUCUAAACUUGCAAGACUCGAAGUAAAAAAAAAAAAAAAAGUAAAAAGUUUCUGCCACUCUAAAAAGCAUCCAGUAUGAAGUCCAAAAAUCUCACAUGGAUCACAUUUCCAAGAUCUCCAGCAGCGCAGUUGGGAGAUUAAUGCCAUCACUAUGCCCAUCAGGGAGAAGGCAAAGUAGACUGGCACUUUAGAAACUAACCCAUUCAGAAAGGCAUAAGCUUUCACACACAACAGCCUACUUUGUCAGAUGCUAUGACUGAUAAAGGCUGUCACCUAUGAAAGUUUAUACCUGACAUGAGUCUAAGAUGCUACCCUACCUUCUGUCCGACUUCAGACUGACAUGGCUAACUACUUCUUUUCUUGUCUACCAGGAAACUUGCAGAGUGAAGUUGUGGCCAGGCUAAGUCAAUAAGUUUUGACCUGGCUUAGAAUCACUGAAAGUGAGAGUUGGAAGAGACCUCAGGAGGUCAUCUAGCCCAACUCCCUGCUUAAAUCAGGUCCAUCCUCAACUAGAUCAUCUAAUCCAAGGCUUUGUCUUGCAGGUUUUUAACAUCUGGCUAGGAUAGAUUCCACAACCUCUCUGGGUAACCCAUUCCAGUGUUUUACUACCCUUGUAGUGAGAAAGCUUUUCCUAAUAUCUAACCUAAACUUCCCUUGCCACAACUUGAGACAGUUGCUCCUUGUUCUGUCAUCUGCCACCACUGAGAACAGUCUAGCUCAAAUUUCUUUGGAAAAACCCUUCAGGUAGUUGAAGGCUGCUAUUAAAACUUGUAAGGGUAUAAGGGUAUAGGAUUUCAUUCCCAA
This 1448-nucleotide long non-coding RNA is filed under the name Crocodylus porosus (Australian saltwater crocodile). Its description in RNAcentral is "lncRNA (ENSCPRG00005004887.1)". The record is from RNAcentral. Lineage: Eukaryota; Metazoa; Chordata; Crocodylia; Crocodylidae.